This 635-nucleotide long non-coding RNA is filed under the name Homo sapiens (human). RNAcentral's name for it is "HSALNT0266833". The record is from RNAcentral. Lineage: Eukaryota; Metazoa; Chordata; Mammalia; Primates; Hominidae.
GGCGAGGCAAGGCUCCCUACACCGCCAGGGGCUCCCAGAUGAUGCACACACCAGGCCCACGCAGGGAGAGGGAACAACAGUAUGUUAGAAGGCCAAGGCUCGGAGAAGGAGUCCUCUGGAAGCAGGGCAGGCUUAGGGGACCAAUGUGUCUACAGUCAGAUGCCAGAGAAGUUGAGGAAGAUGAGGACAAGGUCAUGUCUGCAGGGAGGUAGGCGAGGUGCUGGUGAGAGCCAUGCGGGAGAGAGACACGGGGCUGGGCUACCCUGGAACAAUCUCGAUGGAGCCCCCAGGAGUGGGAGAGAAAGGGAGGAAGGCAGAGGUGGGGGAAGGAGAGCGAGGGGGGAGGUGGUGGGCAAUCGGGGAGACGCGCGCACACACACACACACACACACACUCCUACAGGGACGCACAGAAUAGAAGCAGAAUUCAAUAACAACUUGGAGAGGGAGCGGAGCGGGAGAGAGCAGGCAGGGAGGGUAGUAGGGGAGGGAGGUAGGCACACGCGGAGCCCGUCUUAGGAGGUGUUCAAUAACCGCUGAUGGAGCGCAGGAACAAAGACAAGGGGCUCCCAGAGGGAAGCAACAGCUGAGAAAGUUGCAGGAUAGACAGACAGACAAAAUGUCACGCAUACACAC